This 266-nucleotide ribosomal RNA is filed under the name uncultured prokaryote. RNAcentral's name for it is "partial 16S ribosomal RNA". It matches the Rfam family "Bacterial small subunit ribosomal RNA", at positions 524 to 789 of the family's 1533-position model. The record is from RNAcentral.
UACGUAGGUGGCAAGCGUUAUCCGGAAUUAUUGGGCGUAAAGAGCGCGCAGGUGGUUGAUUAAGUCUGAUGUGAAAGCCCACGGCUUAACCGUGGAGGGUCAUUGGAAACUGGUCGACUUGAGUGCAGAAGAGGGAAGUGGAAUUCCAUGUGUAGCGGUGAAAUGCGUAGAGAUAUGGAGGAACACCAGUGGUGAAGGCGGCUUCCUGGUCUGUAACUGACACUGAGGCGCGAAAGCGUGGGGAGCAAACAGGAUUAGAUACCCGU